CGGCCGCGUCGACCAAGGCGACGAUACAUAGCCGACCUGAGAGGGUGAUCGGCCACACUGGGACUGAGACACGGCCCAGACUCCUACGGGAGGCAGCAGUAGGGAAUCUUCGGCAAUGGACGGAAGUCUGACCGAGCAACGCCGCGUGAGUGAAGAAGGUUUUCGGAUCGUAAAGCUCUGUUGUAAGAGAAGAACGAGUGUGAGAGUGGAAAGUUCACACUGUGACGGUAUCUUACCAGAAAGGGACGGCUAACUACGUGCCAGCAGCCGCGGUAAUACGUAGGUCCCGAGCGUUGUCCGGAUUUAUUGGGCGUAAAGCGAGCGCAGGCGGU
Molecule: ribosomal RNA, 332 nt
Filed under: uncultured bacterium
Lineage: Bacteria
Description: bacterial SSU rRNA
Rfam family: Bacterial small subunit ribosomal RNA
Source: RNAcentral